GGGGUGAAGGGAAAUGCCACAGACAUCCAUGGUCUUGGAUGCUCAACAGAAGUGCUUGCCUUGGUGAUCCAAAAAAGGCAGGAUCCGGCCGGGGGCAAGGUGAUUAUUCUGUCUGAUGAGGAGAAUAAGAGCCAGUUUGUGGUAUUGACAGAAGAAUGAAAGUAAAGUCUUGAAAGAUGGGAAGAUCAGGAGCAGUCUGGAGUCAUGGUAUAUGAAUGAACUAGUGAGAGUGGGCACAAAGUCUGAAGAUCUUUGUAGUGCAGCUAAUGUCUAAGGGAGAAUAUACCUACCCUAGAAGAGACAUUAAACAACCAGGAAAAGAGGUGCAACAGUGGCUGGAUGAUUAUAAGAUCGACUGUUCCUAUUAAAAACUACACCAUCCAAAAGAGGCUGCCAUUGAAGAGCAAUAAAGUAGUUCAUAGAAGGCAUAGUUCAACCAAUCUACAAAGGCCAAAAAUAUUUUCACAGGCCCCCAAAAGAUGAACUCCAAUCUGCUGCCCCUAAACGCAUUCUCCACUGUCUGGAAGAUGUGCAAAGGCAACGGCACAGCGUUCUCCAUCUCAAAUCCUUCAAAGUGCUGUCAGAAUAAAAGAAUCCCCACCAAAAGCCCCAGGGAAAUCUAUCUGUCUGUAUGGUAUGGUAAUGACUGAGGUUAUUCCAGAUAGGAUUCUGGGAGAAACUCAGCUAUUGAAAUCUAAUGAAUGGAACUGAGAAUUUCUUGUUAUAAUACUGUUUGUUUGAUUGAAUAUAUCCUUGCAUAUAGGAAGACAUAAAAAUAAAUAAUAAAAGCAAGAUAUUAUUUGAA
This 805-nucleotide long non-coding RNA is filed under the name Homo sapiens (human). RNAcentral describes it as "long intergenic non-protein coding RNA 1013". The record is from RNAcentral. Lineage: Eukaryota; Metazoa; Chordata; Mammalia; Primates; Hominidae.